CAGUCGAGAAUUUUUCUCAAUGGGGGAGACCCUGAAGGAGCGACGCCGCGUGGAGGAUGAAGGUCUUCGGAUUGUAAACUCCUGUCAUUAGGGAACAAUGUGCGGUUGUUAACUGCAAUCGUAUUGAUAGUACCUGAAGAGGAAGAGACGGCUAACUCUGUGCCAGCAGCCGCGGUAAUACAGAGGUCUCAAGCGUUGUUCGGAUUCAUUGGGCGUAAAGGGUGCGUAGGUGGCGCUGUAAGUCAGGUGUGAAAUCUCGGGGCUCAACCCCGAAACUGCACUUGAUACUGCGGUGCUUGAGUACUGGAGAGGAGAUUGGAAUUUACGGUGUAGCAGUGAAAUGCGUAGAUAUCGUAAGGAAGACCAGUGGCGAAGGCGAAUCUCUGGACAGUUACUGACACUGAGGCACGAAGGCUAGGGGAGCAAACAGGAUUAGA
RNAcentral lists this ribosomal RNA (437 nucleotides) under uncultured bacterium. Its description in RNAcentral is "bacterial SSU rRNA". It matches the Rfam family "Bacterial small subunit ribosomal RNA", at positions 352 to 782 of the family's 1533-position model. The record is from RNAcentral.